Molecule: ribosomal RNA, 661 nt
Filed under: uncultured bacterium
Lineage: Bacteria
Description: bacterial SSU rRNA
Rfam family: Bacterial small subunit ribosomal RNA
Source: RNAcentral
AGUUUGAUCCUGGCUCAGAUUGAACGCUGGCGGCAGGCCUAACACAUGCAAGUCGGACGGUAGCACAGGGGAGCUUGCUCCCUGGGUGACGAGUGGCGGACGGGUGAGUAAUGUCUGGGGAUCUGCCCGAUAGAGGGGGAUAACCACUGGAAACGGUGGCUAAUACCGCAUAACGUCGCAAGACCAAAGAGGGGGACCUUCGGGCCUCUCACUAUCGGAUGAACCCAGAUGGGAUUAGCUAGUAGGCGGGGUAAUGGCCCACCUAGGCGACGAUCCCUAGCUGGUCUGAGAGGAUGACCAGCCACACUGGAACUGAGACACGGUCCAGACUCCUACGGGAGGCAGCAGUGGGGAAUAUUGCACAAUGGGCGCAAGCCUGAUGCAGCCAUGCCGCGUGUAUGAAGAAGGCCUUCGGGUUGUAAAGUACUUUCAGCGGGGAGGAAGGCGAUGCGGUUAAUAACCGCGUCGAUUGACGUUACCCGCAGAAGAAGCACCGGCUAACUCCGUGCCAGCAGCCGCGGUAAUACGGAGGGUGCAAGCGUUAAUCGGAAUUACUGGGCGUAAAGCGCACGCAGGCGGUCUGUUAAGUCAGAUGUGAAAUCCCCGGGCUUAACCUGNGAACUGCAUUUGAAACUGGCAGGCUUGAGUCUCGUAGAGGGGG